RNAcentral lists this non-coding RNA (26 nucleotides) under Mus musculus (house mouse). Lineage: Eukaryota; Metazoa; Chordata; Mammalia; Rodentia; Muridae. The record is from RNAcentral.
AGAUAUAGUAGUAGCAGAGCCAUUUG